UACAAUCCAACCAGGGAAUAGCGGGAGUGUAGACGAUCUGGGACCUAGCUCUCCAAACAAAUUACGCUCCUGAAGCAAAAAGAAAGAGUAAAUCGGUGCUGCCUGUUGUGUGUAUUAUAUGUAAAAAACGUGACAGAUUUGUCACUGUUGGAGAAAAUAGGAAGAAGGAUGUAUUAACACAGACUCAGACCCAAACAGGCUCAGGCCAACUGUUGAAAGCUGCUGAAUUGAAAGAGGAUGAAGAUAUUUUAAGGCAUAUCAGAGGGCAAGAUUGUGUGGCCAUUGAGGUCAGAUAUCACCAAAAAUGUUAUAGGCAAUAUACAUGUACUGAAUUUCUUAGACAGUUAUCAGAAAGCAAAGAUGACUAGCCCUCCGUCGAAUAUUAAACCACAUACAAUAUAUUCUGUGAAGAUGUCAUAAGAGAAAGAAUCAUAAAUGGCCAGCAAAGUUGUCUUGUACAGAGAGAGAGAGAGAGAAAUGGGGUUUAACGUCCACUCAACACAAACUAGGUCAUUUUGGGACUAACAUACGGUUUCAAUUUUAUUUCAAUAAUUCGCUUGCGCGUAUGGGUCUUUAGCAGUGAGAGGAAACCGGAGUGCCCGGAGGAAACCCACGAGGUUGAGAAGACGCCUCUAUCUCCAUGCCACAUACGCUCACACCUGGGAUCAAAGCCACAGCCACAAGCCAGAGGUGACCGACCAGCUAGAGGUCGAAGCGCGGCACUCUAGGCCAUCCCAACCCCCCUUUCUUGUACAGACCUGUGCAUGUGUAGUCAAUGUGAAAAUGAAAAAAAAACUGUUAAAGAGACCGAAUUUGAUGUUAAUACAUUUAGUGACAGUGAUGAUGAUAAUGAAGAUUAACUUUGAUGACAUUUGAU
Molecule: long non-coding RNA, 877 nt
Organism: Patella vulgata (common limpet)
Lineage: Eukaryota; Metazoa; Mollusca; Gastropoda; Patellidae
Exons: 3
Source: RefSeq, a predicted model, not a curated record